UGUGAUGGAGGAUUGAUUUGAUGGGCCCAGGAGGGGCUGUGUGAUAUGAUUGAACUGUUGAUGUAUGGAUUGUGAGUAUAGAAGUGCGUUUUUAGCCCUUUUGCAGGUUGGGUAGGUCCUAGGUAUAGGGGAGACUCUGCCGGAUUUUCGGCACGACUUAGGACGUAAUUGGUCUUUUUCUUUAUUUGUAUUGAGUCAGAUUGUAUUAAAUAAAUGUAAUAUGAUUGUCAGGUGAGCCGGGACAGCCUUCUUCCUCCGCCCAGCCGCCACAGUAAUUUGUCGUCAAGUCUGCCACAGGAGGAUAUUUUGUUCUGGGUUAACCUGCCUUUUUACCUCGCAGGUUGUUUAUCAAUAUUGUGUAAUUUUAAUUACUCCUAGAAUUUCCGCAUGUGUUAGCAGUAAUUAUUUGAAAUUGGUCUGUAAUAUUAUAUUCAUGUUGGACCUGUAAACUUAAUAUUUUAAGUCUGUUUGAUGGAUUGGAUGAGGGAGCUGAGCUCCCAUUUAUUAUUA
This is a long non-coding RNA of Hevea brasiliensis (rubber tree), 510 nucleotides long. RefSeq lists it as uncharacterized. The record is from RefSeq and is a predicted model, not a curated record. NCBI's taxonomy places the organism in Eukaryota, Viridiplantae, Streptophyta, Magnoliopsida, Malpighiales, Euphorbiaceae. The transcript has 2 exons.